UUUACGCACAACACACUAUAAAGAACAUCUGGUGGAAUUGAUACAAAUCUAUAGCUCCUCCUAACUAAGAAGCGUUAUUAGCCCUUAAGCAAAGGGGAACGAGUGUGGUUCUCUCUGGAUCUUUUCCUCGUGUUGCAGAUUAUUCUCUUCCAAGCCAAAUACCUCCUUCCUCAUUAUUAUUAUUUUUCCUCAGCACUGAUAAUUCUUAGUUUUUUGCUUAUGUACUUGCUCCAAGUGCACUCUUGAAGUCCUGAGUUUUCUUCGGUAGAUUCCUUCAGAAGCUUUCCUUUCCUCUGUGAUGUUCUGUGAGGUGAUGGCUCCCCUGAGGCCACAACUCGGCCUUUGUCCCAUCAGGUGAGUCCGUGUCCUCUAGAGCAGCUUCCUUCUCUCUGGUGAUAACAGCGUCCUCCACUGUGUAAUGGCAGAUGUCAUGCUUGAAACUGAGCAGGACCCUGGGGGGCCUUCCUAGGUACAGAAGCUCCUCUGUGACCCCUGUUUCUUGUUUGUAGGAAAAAAAGCUUUAGUCUCCUAGGCCUUCCGAGUUCCAAAGAGCAGACUCAAGCAGUUACUAGUUAGGGAAGUGAGGAGAUGCAGAAACAAAGGAAAAGCAGUUAAGCAAGAAAAGUAAUAAUAGCUUAGAUUACAGUUCAGUGAUAAAGCAGAGACCUAGUUCCUCCUCAAGGGGCAUACGUGAUAAUCUGGUGCAUAUCUUUGAGCUGUCCUGCAGAAACCAAGAUUCUCCCCCCCACCCCACCCCCUUGGAGGGCCGUGACUACAUGCUGGCCACAAGCACUUAGACCCCAGACGAGUUGGAACCAGAAGAGAAAGGAUUAAGUUUCCUGAAACAUCACCCUGUUACCUCACCACCAACCAAUCAGAAGAAAGUCCAUGAGCUGCAACCCUCAUCCCAAAUGUUGCGUUUAAAAACCUUUCCCUGAAAGACAUCAGGGAGUUCUGAGCUGCCUGUUCUCCUUGCUUGGGGCCCUGCAAUAAAUGCUAUAAUUUCCUACACUGCGACCUUGUGUCAGUGGAUUGGCGUUGCUGUGCGGUGGGUGAGCAGACCCAAGCUCAGUUUGCUAACACACUUAUCCCCAGUCUGGUUGGAAAAAGUCACUUUCUGCUUGGAAUCUGAGUGGAAUAAUCUUCCACAUUCCCUUAUAACACACCAGACUUCUUAUGCACUAAUGUGAAAUCUGAGUUUCCUGGGGUGUUAUUUUUUAAUCAGUUAACUCCCAGUUUCGUGUGCGCUAGAUUAUGAUUAGGUUAAGAAUUCCCAGUUUUUCUUAGCUUGAGUAGAAAGAGAAUAUUUAGUUUCCAAGAGCCACUUAGAUAAGAAAAAGUUGAAAACACCGUGAAGGUAAGUGGAAUUGCUGGAGACUGGAGGACUUCCUGUGUUCACUGACUAUCGACACUCAUUGCUUCUGCUUCCUGUGGAGAGCCGGCAUUUGGACCUUGCCUGUGGUCUGUUUAUUGCGCACGUUAAAGAGGCGUCUCUGAGGGCCAGAUGGGUGAGUGAAAGUAAGCUCCUCAAUUUCCCAUCUCCACUGAUAAAUCCGACUUUGUCAUAAUGACAGAGCAUCCAAAGCAAACGACUGCAAUGCGUGGACACUUCGCUUCAUCCUGGUUGUGUGCAAAGACCUCUUAAACCCGCACAGAGGUGGAUUUUCAGUUGCCCCUAACCACCAACCAAAUGGAUGACACUAGCAGAACUUUCCAAAGUUUCUGCCUGAAAACACUCUAGCAAGAGGAUCUGAAGCAGAUGAAAUAGAUGGUCAUUUGAUUCACAUGAAUCAUAAGCUGCGGAAUUUGAUCUAGUUCUAGUACAUUAAAAUCGUAAUAGUUUUGUCUUCACUGGCUUUUAGUCGAGACUGUAAAAAAGUCAGCAAUUACUGAAUUAUUGAAUCGCAAAGGUAGGCAACGGGCAGGGCUUUUCUCAGCAGCACACUGACUACGGAAAUUAAGUGACCAGGAGGCUUGAGGACCCCUGGGACUAAAACUCUCAUUCCUUAUACAUUGGACACGUCCCUUCUUAGACAGGAUGUCGGUUUGCGGGAGGUGAUCCGUGUAUAAGUGUGAGUUAAUAGUAGGCCCUUUAAUUCUAUUCCCCACAUUCCUCAUUAAUCCCACGCUAUUGGAUCACUGCUUUAUUUUGUUCCUUUAUAAAUUUAUAUCACAAAACCUCGAUUUAUGGUAUUACCAUUGAUAAGUUUUUUCAAUAUACACAGUCCAUUUAUUUUCACGCCCACUUAGGACCAGUGAAAUUUAUGUAGCAACAUAUUAUUAAUUGCCUUCCAACUUCUGUCCAUCAGAAAUAUUUAACAAAUGUCCCCACCCAUUACUAUAAUACUAUUCCUGAAGCAAAGUGCUUUCAGAGAUGCAUCUAAUUGACGCAUUGUCUGUUUUUGGAGAUGUACAGAUUUCUAGAAAGCAGCCCACUGACGGGUCUCUACGUGAUGGGGGGCGAGUGUUGUUACUCACUGAGAUGCCUCCUGAGAUGAUGGCCUGGCUCACUUUGAAGCAGAAAAUAGAAUAAAAUGAGGUUUAUGUGCUGUUGGCGUCAGAAAAGCCCAUUACGAUGAUUUUGCUUAACGCUUGUCAUCUAGUUUGUAGUUGUCUGUAAUACAAUGCCUGUCCUGAUGCAGAUUUUUUGUUUUAGGGAGUGGGUAUCCACAUCCACAAAUGCAGGGGCUGCUGGACAGUAGGAAGGGUACAUGGAGGAUGGCUGUGGAUGGUGCGGGAAACUGGGCAAAGUCAAGGGCAGUAAUUAAGCUCCUCCCUCUGACUUGCUGCUUUUCUUCCUCUUCUAUUGCUGUAAAUUAAACAUGGUUGCUAACGUCUGACAUUUCUCCCUCGACAGCGAGGGGGACACGAUACAAGUCUGUCAUUUGUUUAUUCAGCAGGUGCUUAUUGAUUUCUUCCUGUGUGUCAGUUACUGUGCUGGUGCAAAGAAGACUCAAUCCUGCCCAGCACACACCUAAUUAUAAUUCAGAGCAUCUUCUAAAAGCCAUAUGAGUGGCGUAAAUUAUAUGUUCAAAAAAGAAAAAAAGAGUAUGCUGAGGUGAACAGGGCGUAUUCAUGGAGAAGGUGUCAUAGGACUUAAAAGUUGGAGAAGCAGGAGAUAACGGGUCCAUCGUGCAAGUUAAUUAUGGAGCACUUGAGUAGCAGGCACUGGACUAGAUCCCGGGAAGGUUGGAGGAUCAGUGAUGCACAACCACAUCCCUCAACUAGAGGCAGCAACGAGGCCCAGAAGAGUUUUGAACACGAGCUUGAUGUCUUCUGGAGAUUAGCUCCACGUGAGCUCAAGUCCUCAGCCUCAAUUCAUGUGUCCUUCAAAACGAGACGAUCGGCCUCAAGCCCCGCUCCUCUCACGUCAGGUCGGAAGGCCUUCCCGGGAUGCUUUGCGGUGCUUGCACAUUCAGGGGGAGUGUCUUCCAUGGGCCAGAGCAGCCUCCCCUCACCCAGCCUGCUGACCUUGAGUGCCAUCCAGAGUAAUGUGUAUUCAUCCCACUGUCCAUAAUCUGUUUCCACAUACCAUGUGCUUGGGGCGUCAUAAAACUUUGGCGCAGAGAAAGUCGAAAACAAAGGAGAAGUCUUUAAUUCUUAUUAUUUUCAUAUGCCACUUCACUAGAUUUCUCUCUCUCUUUUGUUUCUGUACUUACUGUUUCUAGGUUAACACAGCUUUCAUGCCCCUGUACCAGAGAUGGGAAUUGUUAUCUCUCAUUUCCCCGUCUCAUUAUUUUGACUCAGGAGGUAGAACGUGCAUCAGCCAUUGAUGGCACGUUUCAUCUCCCCCACUGACCGUCUGCAGUCCUCUCCUCACUCUGAGGUAGGCUCAUCGCUUGCCUUUGCCUUUUGGUGUUAUUGUACAUCCUUCCUUCCUAAGUGUCUGCUUUCUAGGAUGCUACAAGGAAGUUGUGUAAGGCAUGUUGGGGGGAUUUGUUAAUUAGUCUGCAUUCUAACCUGGAUGUUCCAUAUCGCGGCAGGAGUGGCGCUGUGCCGUUCUGGACGCAGCCCUUUGAAGGUAUAGAAACUCCUGCUUCUGUGCUUCAGGAAUGCUGUAAGGAAGCUCAGGCUAUCCUGCUGGAGAGAGGCCACUUGAAGAGGCCGUGGAGGGACAGACACCGUGUGGAGGAGGCCCCAGACUUCUUGGACCUUCCGGUCCAUGACCAAUGCCAGGCUGCAUCACACGGAACAGAAGAAACACAGGCCACCUGCAGAAUCUAGAUCAGUCACCAUUAAUCGUUUUAAGAUGCUGAGUUUUGGGGAGGUUUGUUACUCAGCAAUUGAUAACUGAAACACUCAAUUAGUCUGCAUGUUCUUCAUUAAGAGACUAUGAAAUGAGCCUCUGUGUGAGGUGUGGUUGGCUUCCUCUGACAGCCCCUCCCUGUGUGUGCCCCGCCCAACCAGGACUAACCCCAUCCCGUGGGUGGAGACUGGGAGAGAACGUCCUGUUCAGAUGGUGGGCAGUCCUUGGAACUAAGAACCUGAUACAAGAUCACGUGUUAACCCAAAUGAGGGUCCAUAAGGAUGGAAUUUUUAGGCCACAGGAAAAAAUAUUUUGAGACAAAAGGCUACUUUUAUUCUCCUAAAUGAACACCAAACUCUUGGUGGCUCAUACAGUAGAGCUAGCACAGUUUAUGGACAGACUGACCCGGGCCCGUGGGAGUUUCAUCAGCUCUGAGUCUCUUGAACACAGCAGUGAUCCCAGAGGAUUUUAUGUUCAAGGACAGAAAACAGGAAAUCUCACAUAACUGUGGCUGAAAGAAGAUAGAAGCUGACCUAACUUCUCCCUCUGCAUAAAAGAUGUCCACAGACAGCACUUGAAGGCUGGCAGGGUAACCAUUGCUAUCAAUGAGCAGGGUCCAGACUUUCCGAUGCAGGUCCUAAUGUGUGUUUUCCACGUUCCUGGUCAACUCAUGGUCCAGGAUGGCAGCUGCAGCUCCAGCCUGGAAAAGGAAUAAGAUGAGAAGAUUGAAAAGGGGCUCUCCCAGCAGCUUAACUAUUUUAAGCAGCCCUCCAGAAGUCCUAUCUAGCUCUGGUGCUUACACAUCUUGAUCAGAACAUGACUGCUUGGUUACACCUGGCUGCAAGGUGGGCUGGGACUUGAACGCUGCUAUGAAGAUGGUCGUGUCUACACGUAACAGGCACCACAAAGCGCUGGAAUGGAGCUGUGGGUAGGAGGAUGGCUCUGUGCUCAGAAUCUGCUGCCACCCGCCAAGCAAACAGGGGCCAAGUUCUCAGCCCUGCAAAACUUCAGUGAUCCAUUUGAAAAAUGAGAGAGUGAUGAAAGCCUCUUCGUAGAUUUAUGAAGACGCUCAAGUAAGAUAAACCAUCUCAGGCACUGAGCAGAAGGUCUGUCACCUGGGGACCUCUUCAUAAACAUCAGCUACUCUUUUUGUUCCAGAGCAUAGUGAGAUGUACAGUCUGUCCCCUGGAAACACACAUUUAGCGAUCAGCCAAAGAAGUCAAAAAGCUUGACAGGAGCUAACUUGGGCCCGUGACUUAGGAAAACGCACAGUGUGUUGGGAGCUCUCAGGAGAGAGAUCGUGUCUGGUCCUGGGACUAAGCAGUCUUCGUGGUGAAAGCGGUAUUUAGAAGGUCUCGGCAGGUGCUCACCAGGUCCAUGUACUGAUCUCCUUGGAACCUGAAAGUAGCGUGAGCCACAGUACAGAGGCUGUGCUUUAUUCCCACCCUGCCCCCCUGCAAAAGAAAGAGGCAAAGAUGCACUGACUUGAGAAAACUCAAGGCUCAGAGUAGUAAGCCUAAGGCUCUAGAGCCCAGCUCUUGUGGCCUGUGUCCUGGGAAGCCUCCCCUGAACCCUCCACUCAGGAGCACCCUCCUCUGUGCACCUGUGUUUGCACAGCUCUAAAAAGCUGCUGACAAAGCCUCGUCAUUCUCCACGUGUGUGUCUCUGAGUUCCGCGAGGGCCCACGUGCCCAUUGGGCUCAUGGUGCUCUGGGAGCUUCUCUUGAAGGAAUGAAUUGAAUUUUGCUUUGGUUCGAGCAAGUAGAAAAUUGAAGAUGACCGGGACUUACGACUUCAUAAAGGCCCUUCAGGCCUGACCCUGAAGACAGGGAAGAGAAAGCUCUUGACAGUGGAGGCCUUUCUGUUUUUAUUAAAGAGAGGAUGGGAUGGGAGAGGAGAAAAAAGUGUUUCCAGGAAAGUUUUUUUAAAAAAAUCCUUUCGUUCUUUAUAUCACCGUUGCUUUCAUAGUCUUAGCAAAUAAAUAUUCACCAAGUACCCACCAUGGGCCAGGGACUGUGGAAGGUGCUGUAAGUACAUUGAGGAACAUGACAGUCCAGACCUCCUGGCCAUGCAUGAUAGUCCUUUGUCCUGUCCUGCACACAGAUAUAUUGUGUCCUCAUAUAAUCUGGUCCCAUUUAAGGCAUAUUUCUCCAGAUUUAGGUAAAGCAAAGUGCGACAUGACAGAGACUUUCAUUGGGUCCUUGGAACCUGCAACAGUCUCUUGAUGACACCAGCCCAAAGGGUCAACUAUCUUGAAUGUGUCAUGGUUUGAUAGGUGUUAAUUCAUCCGCGAGAUUCUCCUCCAAACUAGAAGUGGAAUAAGAAAUAAUCACUUCAUCUUUGGAAACCGUCAAAGCUCUAGGAUGAACGUGAACACUGAAAUAAUUGUAGGACGCCUGUUCCUAUUACCUGGUAGCUGUCUGUUCGCAGCGUGGCAUCCUGGGUUUGUGCCCUUUGGAGAUUCAGGGCGUUCUUUAGUGAUUAGGACUCAUUAUGUUUGUGAUAGCUAUUCACGCACGUUUUUCAAAAUGGAUGUGUGCUUGAAUUAGGCUGGAUUGAGUUUCCUUUUUCUUUCCAGGUGAGCCUAAAACUCCAAGGGGGGGCGGUGGGAGUGGGGAACCCACAAGAGAGUAGGAACAUCAGAUGAUUCCCCAGUUCCCUCUAUUUGUUUCUAAGUAAUGCUUUUCACCGCAGAGAGUACAUGACUACAUAUGUGCGGGCCCUGCUUGUUGCGAGCCCCGAACAAAGAAUCGUGCUUCAGAUUUCAAUGCGUUUGGACCAUAAUGUGCUGCUUUCUGGAUAAUGGGCUCUUGGCAUUGAAAUGAAAAGCAAACAUAUCAUUAGGAAGGCGCUCCGUGAAAACUGUCUGUCAUAUAUCUUAAGCUUCAUUAGUUUAGAUUAAUGACUUACUUGAUAUACAUGACGGUAGGUGAAGCAAAUCUUUGUUUAUUUAUUGACAAUUAAAUGUGGUGGUGACAUGCAUAAACAGGCUUCCCUCUGAUUAGUACCAUGUUUUAAAGUAACUUUGUGUUAUAAAACUUGUUAACUACAGUAUCAUUUUAUUGAGCACUGCUGGGUGAAUGAUGUGAUUGUCAUUGAAAGGCAUCAAUAUUGCAGCCAUUCCUGGCAGUCACUGGAGCAUUGUGCUCACAGAUUGGAGUUGAUAUCUCAUUGUACACAUUCAGGGACCCAGAAAAUGCCCAGUUAUUGAGCCUCUGCCCUGGGAGGACAAUGUUCUAUUCAUGGAAUCUGGGUGCAAGGUCACAGACAGAAAUCUGAAGGAAGGAUGAGAUUCACAUUUGCUUCGGGGUUUUGCCGAGGACCUCCCUGAAAUUCAGUGUCUGGAAGGCAUGGCGCUUCCCCCAGAGCAUCCUACUACAGAAUGAUACUUCAUAACGCAAUGCAAAGGAGGCUAUAAAUAAAUACAGCCCGUUCCAAUUAGAAAGCUUCUCUAGGACUAAGCAAGCUUCUCUGAAGAAGAUGCCGAUGCGUCUGAUAUUACACGGCUUCAGAUGACAUAAGCAAGCUUCCAAGAACACCUCUCUAGCAGACGUACCAUUUUGGGGUGAGGAAUGAUGAGAAAAAGGGGAGAAGGGCAAUGUGGCAUAAAAUGUAUCUGCAUGCUAGUCUCACUGAAACAUUUGUGGUUUGCCUUUCCACGCAUUCCAGAGUUGGAGGCUGUCAGGGAUAAUCAGCCGUUCCCAUCACGGACACCCCAUGGUUCUCCUUAAUAGCUCUCUUUUAUGUGCCAUCAGUCCUCAAAAAUAUAUUUAGAAAAGAUUUAUUUAGAAAGAGGCAUAAAAUACAAUCCAUGUUGCGGUUGAGUAUUACAAAUGAUUUCUGGACUCCAUUCUGUGCCGUCAGGCUCUGUAGAAUUUUCAUAUAAAGUAGAAAAUAAACUCUCAGCCAGCUUGAAAGAGAACUCCUUUGACAAAGGAAACCAGCGUAUUCUUUUUUUAUUUUUUUUGCUGUACGCGGGCCUCUCACUGCUGUGGCCUCUCCCGUUGCGGAGCACAGGCUUCGGAUGCGCAGGCCCAGCGGCCAU
Aethalodelphis obliquidens (Pacific white-sided dolphin) is the source of this 8290-nucleotide long non-coding RNA. RefSeq lists it as uncharacterized. The transcript is spliced from 7 exons. The record is from RefSeq and is a predicted model, not a curated record. Lineage: Eukaryota; Metazoa; Chordata; Mammalia; Artiodactyla; Delphinidae.